RNAcentral lists this ribosomal RNA (106 nucleotides) under Streptocarpus meyeri. RNAcentral's name for it is "partial 28S ribosomal RNA". It matches the Rfam family "Eukaryotic large subunit ribosomal RNA", at positions 1 to 105 of the family's 3401-position model. The record is from RNAcentral. Lineage: Eukaryota; Viridiplantae; Streptophyta; Magnoliopsida; Lamiales; Gesneriaceae.
GCGACCCCAGGUCAGGCGGGAUCACCCGCUGAGUUUAAGCAUAUCAAUAAGCGGAGGAGAAGAAACUUACAAGGAUUCCCCUAGUAACGGCGAGCGAACCGGGAAU